CACUGAUGGGGUGUUGAUAAGUGGAAGUAGUUACCUCAGGUCGACUGUUCCUGCAGCCAGGCUGGAAGCAGUCACUUCAAUGGAAAGCUCCGUGGUCCCUGCCAGCUCCUCUGGUCCACAGAUGUCUCAGGAUGUAGCCCCACCCUUUGUUGGUUGCAGCCAUGGAAUUUGCAAAUGAUCAGCGCACCAGAGUUGUAACCGACCUUACGUUGUACUUCCACAAAGGAACCAAAGAAAUCUGCAGACUCUGUGUAUUUACCCAGGGAUCGCUUUCCUGAGGGUGAACUGUAACCAGCUUCUUUGCAGAAUGGAGCCAUCAUCGGGUGCCAGUAGCACUACAGUACAACGUUUAAAGGGGGAAAUGAAGGCUAGCUCCUCCGAAGGAAACUACAGGGGAAUUUUAGAGCAGCA
Molecule: long non-coding RNA, 411 nt
Filed under: Equus caballus (horse)
Lineage: Eukaryota; Metazoa; Chordata; Mammalia; Perissodactyla; Equidae
Description: lncRNA (ENSECAG00000055263.1)
Source: RNAcentral